This 465-nucleotide ribosomal RNA is filed under the name uncultured bacterium. RNAcentral's name for it is "partial 16S ribosomal RNA". It matches the Rfam family "Bacterial small subunit ribosomal RNA", at positions 339 to 795 of the family's 1533-position model. The record is from RNAcentral.
CUACGGGCGGCAGCAGUGGGGAAUAUUGGACAAUGGGGGAAACCCUGAUCCAGCAAUGCCGCGUGUGUGAAGAAGGCCUGCGGGUUGUAAAGCACUUUCGGUUGGGAGGACUGCUUCUAGCACUAAUAUUGUUGGAAGUUGACGUUACCUUCGGAAGAAGCACCGGCUAACUCCGUGCCAGCAGCCGCGGUAAUACGGAGGGUGCAAGCGUUAAUCGGAAUUACUGGGCGUAAAGCGCGCGUAGGCGGCUAGAUCAGUCGGGUGUGAAAGCCCCGGGCUUAACCUGGGAACUGCAUCCGAUACUGUCUAGCUUGAGUACAGGAGAGGAGAGUGGAAUUCCACAUGUAGCGGUGAAAUGCGUAGAUAUGUGGAGGAACACCAAUGGCGAAGGCAGCUCUCUGGCCUGAUACUGACGCUGAGGUGCGAAAGCGUGGGGAGCAAGCAGGAUUAGAUACCCCAGUAGUC